CUGAUGUAUUUUUGUUAUUUGUGUCGCCAUGUUUCUGUCUUGUUGAUGUAUGUCGUAUGCUGAUGUAUUUUUGUUAUUUGUGUCGUCAUGUUUCUGUCUUGUUGAUGUAUGUCGUAUGCUGAUGUAUUUUUGUUAUUUGUGUCGUCAGGUUUCUGUCUUGUUGAUGUAUGUCGUAUGCUGAUGUAUUUUUGUUAUUUGUGUCGUCAUGUUUCUGUCUUGUUGAUGUAUGUCGUAUGCUGAUGUAUUAUAGUUAUUUGUGUCGUCAUGUUUCGGUCUUGUUGAUGUAUGUCGUAUGCUGAUGUAUUUUUGUUAUUUGUGUCGUCGGGUUUCUGUCUUGUUGAUGUAUGUCGUAUGCUGAUGUAUUUUUGUUAUUUGUGUCGUCAUGUUUCUGUCUUGUUGAUGUAUGUCGUAUGUUGAUGUAUUAUAGUUAUUUGUGUCGUCAUGUUUCGGUCUUGUUGAUGUAUGUCGUAUGCUGAUGUAUUUUUGUUAUUUGUGUCGUCAGGUUUCUGUCUUGUUGAUGUGUGUCGUAUGCUGAUGUAUUUUUGUUAUUUGUGUCGUCAUGUUUAUAUAUAUAUAUAAAAAGGAAGAAAAUAAUUUCAUUAAAAUAUUACAACCUAAAAAGUUUGAAAGGGCUCAGUAUAUUAUAUAUAUAUAUAGGUAUAUAGGAAAUUGUGGUUUAAGUGCCAAUGAGACGAAUAUCCUUCCA
Molecule: long non-coding RNA, 706 nt
Filed under: Mytilus galloprovincialis (Mediterranean mussel)
Lineage: Eukaryota; Metazoa; Mollusca; Bivalvia; Mytilida; Mytilidae
Source: RNAcentral